GAGCGCCAGCGAGAGAGCGUUGCCGCAGGCAACGACCCGAAGGGCGAAGCGCGCAGCGCUGAGUAAUCCUUCCCCAACCACCA
Molecule: small RNA, 83 nt
Filed under: Escherichia coli
Lineage: Bacteria; Pseudomonadati; Pseudomonadota; Gammaproteobacteria; Enterobacterales; Enterobacteriaceae
Description: partial RtT sRNA
Rfam family: RtT RNA
About the family: This family represents a bacterial cis-regulatory element known as RtT RNA. The exact function of RtT is unknown although it is thought that it may be involved in changing the cellular response in relation to amino acid starvation.
Source: RNAcentral